AUUGAACGCUGGCGGCAGGCUUAACACAUGCAAGUCGAACGGUAACAGGGAGAAACUUGUUUCUCUGCUGACGAGUGGCGGACGGGUGAGUAAUGCUUGGGAAUCUGCCUUAUGGAGGGGGAUAACCACUGGAAACGGUGGCUAAUACCGCGUAAUAUCUUUGGAUUAAAGUGUGGGACUUUCGAGCCACACGCCAUAAGAUGAGCCCAAGUGAGAUUAGGUUGUUGGUGAGGUAAUGGCUCACCAAGCUUACGAUCUCUAGCUGGUUUGAGAGGAUGACCAGCCACACUGGGACUGAGACACGGCCCAGACUCCUACGGGAGGCAGCAGUGGGGAAUAUUGCACAAUGGGCGCAAGCCUGAUGCAGCCAUGCCGCGUGAAUGAAGAAGGCCUUAGGGUUGUAAAGUUCUUUCAUUAGUGAGAAAGCGGUUAUAUCUAAUAGGUGUAACCAUUGAUGUUAGCUAAAGAAGAAGCACCGGCUAACUCCGUGCCAGCAGCCGCGGUAAUACGGAGGGUGCGAGCGUUAAUCGGAAUGACUGGGCGUAAAGGGCACGCAGGCGGUUAUUUAAGUCAGAUGUGAAAGCCCCGAGCUUAACUUGGGAAUUGCAUUUGAUACUGGGUAACUAGAGUCCUCUAGGGAGGGGUAGAAUUCCAUGUGUAGCGGUGAAAUGCGUAGAGAUGUGGAGGAAUACCGAAGGCGAAGGCAGCCCCUUGGAGAGAGACUGACGCUCAUGUGCGAAAGCGUGGGGUAGCAAACAGG
Molecule: ribosomal RNA, 760 nt
Filed under: uncultured bacterium
Lineage: Bacteria
Description: bacterial SSU rRNA
Rfam family: Bacterial small subunit ribosomal RNA
Source: RNAcentral